GAGCCCGUAGCUCAAUAGCUAGAGCCUUGGACUUCUGAUCCACGGUUCACGGGUUCA
Molecule: transfer RNA, 57 nt
Filed under: Schistocephalus solidus
Lineage: Eukaryota; Metazoa; Platyhelminthes; Cestoda; Diphyllobothriidea; Diphyllobothriidae
Rfam family: tRNA
About the family: Transfer RNA (tRNA) molecules are approximately 80 nucleotides in length. Their secondary structure includes four short double-helical elements and three loops (D, anti-codon, and T loops). Further hydrogen bonds mediate the characteristic L-shaped molecular structure. tRNAs have two regions of fundamental functional importance: the anti-codon, which is responsible for specific mRNA codon recognition, and the 3' end, to which the tRNAs corresponding amino acid is attached (by aminoacyl-tRNA synthetases). tRNAs cope with the degeneracy of the genetic code in two manners: having more than one tRNA (with a specific anti-codon) for a particular amino acid; and 'wobble' base-pairing, i.e. permitting non-standard base-pairing at the 3rd anti-codon position.
Source: Rfam by way of RNAcentral